Molecule: ribosomal RNA, 301 nt
Filed under: uncultured bacterium
Lineage: Bacteria
Description: partial 16S ribosomal RNA
Rfam family: Bacterial small subunit ribosomal RNA
Source: RNAcentral
CAGUCGCCGCGGGAACACGAAGGGGGCUAGCGUUGUUCGGAAUUACUGGGCGUAAAGGGCGCGUAGGCGGCCAUUCAAGUUAGAUGUGAAAGCCCUGGGCUCAACCUAGAAAUUGCAUCUGAUACUGUUUGGCUUGAGUUCGGGAGAGGUGAGUGGAAUUCCCAGUGUAGAGGUGAAAUUCGUAGAUAUUGGGAAGAACACCAGUGGCGAAGGCGGCUUACUGGGCCGACACUGACGCUGAGGCGCGAAAGCGUGGGAAGCAAACAGGAUUAGAUACCCGCGUAGUCCCUGUCUCUUAUAC